AUUGAACGCUGGCGGCAGGCCUAACACAUGCAAGUCGAGCGGAUGAAGGGAGCUUGCUCCUGGAUUCAGCGGCGGACGGGUGAGUAAUGCCUAGGAAUCUGCCUGGUAGUGGGGGAUAACGUCCGGAAACGGGCGCUAAUACCGCAUACGUCCUGAGGGAGAAAGUGGGGGAUCUUCGGACCUCACGCUAUCAGAUGAGCCUAGGUCGGAUUAGCUAGUUGGUGGGGUAAAGGCCUACCAAGGCGACGAUCCGUAACUGGUCUGAGAGGAUGAUCAGUCACACUGGAACUGAGACACGGUCCAGACUCCUACGGGAGGCAGCAGUGGGGAAUAUUGGACAAUGGGCGAAAGCCUGAGCCAGCCAUGCCGCGUGUGUGAAGAAGGUCUUCGGAUUGUAAAGCACUUUAAGUUGGGAGGAAGGGCAGUAAGUUAAUACCUUGCUGUUUUGACGUUACCAACAGAAUAAGCACCGGCUAACUUCGUG
Molecule: ribosomal RNA, 484 nt
Filed under: uncultured bacterium
Lineage: Bacteria
Description: partial 16S ribosomal RNA
Rfam family: Bacterial small subunit ribosomal RNA
Source: RNAcentral